RNAcentral lists this ribosomal RNA (292 nucleotides) under uncultured bacterium. Its description in RNAcentral is "partial 16S ribosomal RNA". It matches the Rfam family "Bacterial small subunit ribosomal RNA", at positions 505 to 796 of the family's 1533-position model. The record is from RNAcentral.
GUGCCAGCAGCCGCGGUAAUACGUAGGGGGCAAGCGUUGUCCGGAUUUAUUGGGCGUAAAGAGCGUGUAGGCGGUUUUACAGGUCCGCUGUGAAAACUCGAGGCUCAACCUCGAGCUGUCGGUGGAAACCGUAAGGCUAGAGUCCGGAAGAGGAGAGUGGAAUUCCUGGUGUAGCGGUGAAAUGCGCAGAUAUCAGGAAGAACACCCGUGGCGAAGGCGGCUCUCUGGGACGGUACUGACGCUGAGACGCGAAAGCGUGGGGAGCGAACAGGAUUAGAUACCCGCGUAGUCC